Molecule: ribosomal RNA, 274 nt
Filed under: uncultured bacterium
Lineage: Bacteria
Description: partial 16S ribosomal RNA
Rfam family: Bacterial small subunit ribosomal RNA
Source: RNAcentral
AUACGGAGGGUGCAAGCGUUACUCGGAAUUACUGGGCGUAAAGGACGCGUAGGCGGUUUAGAAAGUCAGAUGUGAAAGCCUAUGGCUUAACCAUAGAACUGCAUCUGAAACUCCUAGACUAGAGUGAGGGAGAGGUCAGUGGAAUUAGUGGUGUAGGGGUAAAAUCCGUAGAGAUCACUAGGAAUACUCAUAGCGAAGGCGACUGACUGGAACUUUACUGACGCUGAGGCGUGAAAGCGUGGGGAGCAAACAGGAUUAGAUACCCGGGUAGUCC